Molecule: ribosomal RNA, 206 nt
Filed under: uncultured bacterium
Lineage: Bacteria
Description: partial 16S ribosomal RNA
Rfam family: Bacterial small subunit ribosomal RNA
Source: RNAcentral
CGUGUAGGCGGUCAAGUAAGUGGAAUGUGAAAGCCCCCGGCUCACCCGGGGAUCUGCAUCCCAAACUGCUUGGCUUGAGUACGGGAGAGGAUAGGGGAAUUCCUGGUGUAGCGGUGAAAUGCGUAGAUAUCAGGAGGAACACCGGUGGCGAAGGCGCCUAUCUGGCCCGAUACUGACGCUGAGGCGCGAAAGCUAGGGAGCAAACG